Molecule: ribosomal RNA, 1449 nt
Filed under: uncultured organism
Description: partial small subunit ribosomal RNA
Rfam family: Bacterial small subunit ribosomal RNA
Source: RNAcentral
GACGAACGCCUUUGGCGUGCUUAACACAUGCAAGUCGAACGGAAAGGCCCUGCUUUUGUGGGGUGCUCGAGUGGCGAACGGGUGAGUAACACGUGAGUAACCUGCCCUUGACUUUGGGAUAACUUCAGGAAACUGGGGCUAAUACCGGAUAGGAGCUCCUGCUGCAUGGUGGGGGUUGGAAAGUUUCGGCGGUUGGGGAUGGACUCGCGGCUUAUCAGCUUGUUGGUGGGGUAGUGGCUUACCAAGGCUUUGACGGGUAGCCGGCCUGAGAGGGUGACCGGCCACAUUGGGACUGAGAUACGGCCCAGACUCCUACGGGAGGCAGCAGUGGGGAAUAUUGCACAAUGGGCGGAAGCCUGAUGCAGCAACGCCGCGUGCGGGAUGACGGCCUUCGGGUUGUAAACCGCUUUCGCCUGUGACGAAGCGUGAGUGACGGUAAUGGGUAAAGAAGCACCGGCUAACUACGUGCCAGCAGCCGCGGUGAUACGUAGGGUGCGAGCGUUGUCCGGAUUUAUUGGGCGUAAAGGGCUCGUAGGUGGUUGAUCGCGUCGGAAGUGUAAUCUUGGGGCUUAACCCUGAGCGUGCUUUCGAUACGGGUUGACUUGAGGAAGGUAGGGGAGAAUGGAAUUCCUGGUGGAGCGGUGGAAUGCGCAGAUAUCAGGAGGAACACCAGUGGCGAAGGCGGUUCUCUGGGCCUUUCCUGACGCUGAGGAGCGAAAGCGUGGGGAGCGAACAGGCUUAGAUACCCUGGUAGUCCACGCUGUAAACGGUGGGUACUAGGUGUGGGGUCCAUUCCACGGGUUCCGUGCCGUAGCUAACGCUUUAAGUACCCCGCCUGGGGAGUACGGCCGCAAGGCUAAAACUCAAAGGAAUUGACGGGGCCCCGCACAAGCGGCGGAGCAUGCGGAUUAAUUCGAUGCAACGCGUAGAACCUUACCUGGGUUUGACAUGGAUCGGGAGUGCUCAGAGAUGGGUGUGCCUCUUUUGGGGUCGGUUCACAGGUGGUGCAUGGCUGUCGUCAGCUCGUGUCGUGAGAUGUUGGGUUAAGUCCCGCAACGAGCGCAACCCUUGUUCACUGUUGCCAGCACGUUAUGGUGGGGACUCAGUGGAGACCGCCGGGGUCAACUCGGAGGAAGGUGGGGAUGACGUCAAGUCAUCAUGCCCCUUAUGUCCAGGGCUUCACGCAUGCUACAAUGGCUGGUACAGAGAGUGGCGAGCCUGUGAGGGUGAGCGAAUCUCGGAAAGCCGGUCUCAGUUCGGAUUGGGGUCUGCAACUCGACCUCAUGAAGUCGGAGUCGCUAGUAAUCGCAGAUCAGCAACGCUGCGGUGAAUACGUUCCCGGGGCUUGUACACACCGCCCGUCAAGUCAUGAAAGUUGGUAACACCCGAAGCCGGUGGCCUAACCGUUGUGGGGGAGCCGUCGAAGGUGGGACUGGUGAUUAGGACUAA